Schistocerca serialis cubense is the source of this 574-nucleotide long non-coding RNA. RefSeq lists it as uncharacterized. The record is from RefSeq and is a predicted model, not a curated record. Lineage: Eukaryota; Metazoa; Arthropoda; Insecta; Orthoptera; Acrididae. The transcript has 3 exons.
CAAAUUUCUGUGUGACUUUUAACCAUAGUCUUAACAUAAGACUGUGCCUUUAAAAUGGCAUUCCAUAUCUGCUUUCGUUUACGAGUUCGCAGACGCACUGAACCCAGCGUCAUAUGAUAGCUAAAGUUGUGUGACACCAGCCAGUAUCAGCCAAGGUGAUCACGACAUGUCACAUCUUCAGCCCAUGGUCUACAGCACAUGCUUCUGCGCUCACACUGUCAUCACAGACACCUAUUGCAACAGCAACACUGCAGACAGAGCAGCAAUGAAGGUUUCCAACUCCGCUGCGAAGUUUGGCCGACACAAUAGUGUUUACAAGCAAGUACCACAGUUGACGACGAACAUGUAGAUGCUGCCAAUGUCCAUCAGAGGGCAUCAACCAUCAGCAGAGGAAGGGGGUGAGAUGAUCAAUGAACUAUUUCCUGGCAAUCACGUGUGUGCAAAUAGUCCUGGAAAUAUCCUUCUACCAGCUCAGUCCUCUUCGAUGUGGAACAGUUGUACGGGUACAGAGUCGAACGGCACUCUAAUUGUAGGAAUUAGUAGUUAUUUGCUUGAUCCGCAGAAGGAGUCCUUA